Long non-coding RNA from Humulus lupulus (European hop), 267 nucleotides. RefSeq lists it as uncharacterized. The record is from RefSeq and is a predicted model, not a curated record. The transcript is spliced from 4 exons. Lineage: Eukaryota; Viridiplantae; Streptophyta; Magnoliopsida; Rosales; Cannabaceae.
UAUAGUCCACGUUGGCUUAAUGGAAGAGAUUGGAGCAUCAUGUGUAUCGUUAUAUAUCAGAAUUUUAUACUUCCAAUUAGUGAAAAGAGAUAUCAGUCACUUUUUUCGUUUUGUUGAGCCAAUUUGGUUAUCAAAUGUUGGAUCCACUGAAGAAGAACGAGUUGAAUGGGUAUCAAAGCGUAUGAUUGAUUCAAAUCCGGGUCAGAUGUGGUUGUUGCCAUAUCAUAAGGGAUGAAAUCAAAUCUCUCAUUUCUCGUGUCUUUCAAC